AGGCUGCAACUCGCCUACACGAAGCUGGAAUCGCUAGUAAUCGCGGAUCAGCACGCCGCGGUGAAUACGUUCCCGGGCCUUGUACACACCGCCCGUCACACCAUGAGAGUCUGCACCCGAAGCCGCCGGCCCAACAUCUGAGGGAGGCGUCGAAGGUGUGGAGGGUGAGGGGGGGUGAAGUCGUAACAAGGUAAC
Molecule: ribosomal RNA, 195 nt
Filed under: uncultured bacterium
Lineage: Bacteria
Description: partial 16S ribosomal RNA
Rfam family: Bacterial small subunit ribosomal RNA
Source: RNAcentral